GACGAACGCUGGCGGCGUGCUUAACACAUGCAAGUCGAACGGAAAGGCCCUGCUUUUGUGGGGUGCUCGAGUGGCGAACGGGUGAGUAACACGUGAGUAACCUGCCCUUGACUUUGGGAUAACUUCAGGAAACUGGGGCUAAUACCGGAUAGGAGCUCCUGCUGCAUGGUGGGGGUUGGAAAGUUUCGGCGGUUGGGGAUGGACUCGCGGCUUAUCAGCUUGUUGGUGGGGUAGUGGCUUACCAAGGCUUUGACGGGUAGCCGGCCUGAGAGGGUGACCGGCCACAUUGGGACUGAGGUACGGCGCAGACGCCUACGGGAGGCAGCAGUGGGGAAUAUUGCACAAUGGGCGGAAGCCUGAUGCAGCAACGCCGCGUGCGGGAUGACGGCCUUCGGGUUGUAAACCGCUUUCGCCUGUGACGAAGCGUGAGUGACGGUAAUGAGUAAAGAAGCACCGGCUAACUACGUG
RNAcentral lists this ribosomal RNA (468 nucleotides) under uncultured bacterium. RNAcentral's name for it is "partial 16S ribosomal RNA". It matches the Rfam family "Bacterial small subunit ribosomal RNA", at positions 28 to 507 of the family's 1533-position model. The record is from RNAcentral.